UCAGGAUGCGGCAGGUGGAAAACAGGGCUCUCAACAGAGCUUUAAUUUGAACUUCUUCUAUUCCUAAAUUGAGCCUGAGCAGAUUUGCUCUGAUUAAGGAGAGAACUUGUUAUGAAUUAAAAAUGACCCAAUUAGGCUGAGAGACAAGUAAAAGCCUACAGCUAGAAAUGAUUCAACAGUCCAGCAGCUUCUAAGAAGCACCCUUUACUAGGCGCGGCUUUACUAGUCGCUAAUGACUGAGGUAGGAGGCCGUGUGCCCUGGAUGAGCUUCAGUCUAGUGAAGAAGGCGUGGAGGGGUGCUCGACAAGGCCAUGAUUAUUAGCAGCACGGAGAGAUGGUGUGGCCGUUGCAAUGAGAUGACCCACAUAGUCGCAACAUAUAAACACUGGGUCCCCAUUAGUGGAGCUGUUUGGGAGGUGUGGCCUCGUGGAGGAAGUGCGUCAGUGGGGGUGGGGGUGGGCUUUGCUGUUUCAAAAGCCUACCACAUUCCCUGUCAGCACUCAGCUUCCUGUACCUGCCACCAUGUCUGAUGCUUGUGAUGAUGUGAUUCCCUGUCAUGAUGGAGACUUAUGUCCAGGUGGCCUUGGCCAUGUUCAAGGAGGAGGGAACUGAGGGGUUCAGGGCACUACAGCAAAAGGAUGCUACAGGCACCACCUUUCCAACCAACGUCGAGGUGAGUGAAUACCGUGAAGGCUUACCAGAUUUACCAAAUGUUACAAAAAGCCGAACCUUGGACCCUGAGGAUGUUUGCCUGUCUUCUGUGAAGUCUAUCUUGAUCCUACUUCUGCUGAAGCCUCCUGAGUGCUGAGAUUACAACGAAAGCACCACUGGGCUCAACUGUGGGACUGACUGCCUUUCUUCCCUACUGAUUCACGUGUAUACGAAAGAAGUGGAAAGGCUGGAGAUUGUCAUGAAUCUGCCACUUCCUUCUUCUGAGGCUCAAAGGAGAGAGCACAAAACUUGAGAGAGUGGUUAACUUUCUGUGAAGAAUAGAAGGCAGAAGUUCUUUUUGAG
This is a long non-coding RNA of Mus musculus (house mouse), 1014 nucleotides long. RefSeq annotates it as predicted gene, 31977. The transcript has 4 exons. The record is from RefSeq and is a predicted model, not a curated record. Lineage: Eukaryota; Metazoa; Chordata; Mammalia; Rodentia; Muridae.